CCUACGGGUGGCAGCAGUGGGGAAUAUUGGACAAUGGGCGAAAGCCUGAUCCAGCCAUGCCGCGUGUGUGAAGAAGGCCUUCGGGUUGUAAAGCACUUUCAGUGGGGAAGAAAGCCUUGGGGCUAAUACCCUCGAGGAAGGACAUCACCCACAGAAGAAGCACCGGCUAACUCCGAGCCAGCAGCCGCGGUAAUACGGAGGGUGCGAGCGUUAAUCGGAAUUACUGGGCGUAAAGCGCGCGUAGGCGGUCUGAUAAGCCGGUUGUGAAAGCCCCGGGCUCAACCUGGGAACGGCAUCCGGAACUGUCAGGCUAGAGUGCAGGAGAGGAAGGUAGAAUUCCCGGUGUAGCGGUGAAAUGCGUAGAGAUCGGGAGGAAUACCAGUGGCGAAGGCGGCCUUCUGGACUGACACUGACGCUGAGGUGCGAAAGCGUGGGUAGCAAACAGGAUUAGAUACCCGUGUAGUC
Molecule: ribosomal RNA, 465 nt
Filed under: Vreelandella stevensii
Lineage: Bacteria; Pseudomonadati; Pseudomonadota; Gammaproteobacteria; Oceanospirillales; Halomonadaceae
Description: partial 16S ribosomal RNA
Rfam family: Bacterial small subunit ribosomal RNA
Source: RNAcentral